GUGGGGGUGGGGUGGGGGUGGAACUCUCUUUUUCUCCCUCUCCGCCCCCAGUGGAAUAUCUUGGAUCUCUUUCUCGAGCUCUGUCUCUCAGCUGCCCGUUUAAAGCAAACGCUAACCUUUUAUCUCUCUGAGGUUACUCAGAAUAUAAGCGGGAAAGGCAUUUCUGCCUCACGGGCCAGGAAGAAGCAGUCUCUAGUCCUGCCCUGUAGGGUGUUUGUUAUUAAAGGGGGGCAAUUUUUUGCAUGGGGGUUCAGUUCCUGGCCGCUGUGUGUGUCGGUGGAGCACGUAUAAGCCCCUUCCGCCCUCAUCCAGGUCCAAAAGGACUUGCGCUUUGCCAGUCACUUGUCAUUUAGAUGUGCCGAAAAUGGUUACCACCUGUAUUAUUAUUGCCUAAUAAAUACAAAUGCAUUGGAAUGGCUGGCAAACACUGGGAUGCCUAUGUCUUGUUUAUUUUAAAAAUAUGUUAAUAAUAUACAGAAGCAGAUUUAGGGUACUGGGUGCUGAGUUGAGCAGAGCAUCGUGCAGAACAAAAUGAGAGUUGUGGGGGAGGCACUGAAUUCAGGUCUUGCACAGGGUGCUGCUGAAAUUUGAAAGACUAAAGUCUGUACCUGCUAAUAAGGUCUGUGUUUUUCAGCUCUUGUAUUGUAAACUGCCAUGUGAUCUUAGGAUGAAGAGCGGUGUAUAAACCAAAGAAUAAAUAUAUCUUAAUACAGUGAA
Molecule: non-coding RNA, 717 nt
Organism: Podarcis muralis (Common wall lizard)
Lineage: Eukaryota; Metazoa; Chordata; Lepidosauria; Squamata; Lacertidae
Source: RefSeq, a predicted model, not a curated record